This 469-nucleotide ribosomal RNA is filed under the name uncultured bacterium. Its description in RNAcentral is "partial 16S ribosomal RNA". It matches the Rfam family "Bacterial small subunit ribosomal RNA", at positions 28 to 507 of the family's 1533-position model. The record is from RNAcentral.
GAUGAACGCUGGCGGCGUGCUUAACACAUGCAAGUCGAACGGAAAGGCCCUGCUUGCCGGGUGCUCGAGUGGCGAACGGGUGAGUAACACGUGGGUGAUCUGCCCCUUACUUUGGGAUAAGCCUGGGAAACUGGGUCUAAUACUGGAUAGGACCAUGCUGUAGGUGGUGUGGUGGAAAGAUUAGUUUCGGUAAGGGAUGAGCUCGCGGCCUAUCAGCUUGUUGGUGGGGUAAUGGCCUACCAAGGCGUCGACGGGUAGCCGGCCUGAGAGGGUGGACGGCCACAUUGGGACUGAGAUACGGCCCAGACUCCUACGGGAGGCAGCAGUGGGGAAUAUUGCACAAUGGGCGCAAGCCUGAUGCAGCGACGCCGCGUGGGGGAUGACGGCCUUCGGGUUGUAAACUCCUUUCAGCCAUAACGAAGCCCUUGUGGUGACGGUAGUGGUAGAAGAAGCACCGGCUAACUACGUG